CCGGCUUCGGGCGUGUGCGGGCGCGCACGUGACUGCGCCGCUUCGUACUUGUGCGUGUGCACACGUGCACGCACGCACGCGACUGGGCCGGCUGCCGCUUCGUACACGGACACGCGCGCGCACGACGGGAAUCCCCCUUCGUAGGUGGGCAGAAGCACAGACGACUGGACCCCCCCCCCUUCAUACAUGUACACAUGCACAUGACAGGAAUCCCCUUUUGUACACAGACAGGCACACAGACUGGCUUCCGCACGAGUGCGCACGUGCACACAUGCACGCACGAUUGGAGUCUUCCUUCAGGAAGCCAAGACUUCGUCCCAACGGGGUGAGGACUGGGACCGGGCACCACUAGGUGGUCUAGGACCACCAAACCCUGCUUAUCCUCAGAGACGGGCUGCUGGGGAACCUCUCCCGGUACCCACGCGCACAGCCUCACUGGGAUGCCCUGCUGGGCUCAGAACAGAAGAGUCUCCAGGGCUGUGAAACAGGAAGAGAAGCAGGAGCAGACAGCAAAGCUGCCCAAAGAAAGUUUAGCUUGAUUAGUGGAACAUCCAGACUAUUAAAAAGAAGAGAUGUUCGUUAACAUCUCUGGAGUUGGAAGAACAAUGAACCGUUAAGUGAGCUGACUCCUUCAGCUGCCCGAAUAGUAAUGUCACAGCUGCUGCAUGGUGGAGCAGGAAUCAAAGCAGGGUGCUUCUAUCCUGGGCAGGAAGUCAGCUUCCCUGCUUAAUACGUGCGGCCCAUUUUUUUGGGAGGGAGGUUUAUUCUGGGGGGAAACGUGGAUGUUGUAGGUGAGAAAAUACAGUAGUAGAUUAUUCUUAUCAAAAGUACCCUCUGACUUCAACAUCCACACACUUAAAUGCUUAGGUGCCAGUAUCCUGUCCCCACACCCCCAACCCCAUGUGCAGUCAGGGCAAGUCAGGGGUCUUAGAGUGGUGACCCCAAACAGGCAUCACGCUAAGCACUAAGCAGGGAGCUAUGUAGAGCUAGCCAGUAAGGAUUGCCAGGUCCACUUCCCUAUCUUCACAGUUUACACACUUUCACUACUUAAUAUACAGAGCCCAGAGUCCUCUCCUGAUGGGAGGCGCCUAUAGUUCCUCUUGCAAAGGGCUGAGCAGGACUCACAGAUUUUGUUUAAGGCAGGAGACCUGGGCUAUAGGUCUUCUACAGUCAAAGGGGAUUGAAACAUGUAUGUGUUCUCAGGUGGUUUGUUACAUGGCCUUUCAAGGGAACAAAAAUACUUCCCUUGGCUGCAAGAGGCAGUGGAGUAAUCCAUAAUGCCACUCAGCGUAGCCUGCCCCAGCUGGCUGGGGCAUGAGGGUGCUUCAGUGCAGGGUGCCAGCCCCUUCACAGCACAGAGCCGGGGGAGCAGCCCCAGGCUGGCAGGCUGACCCCUGGGGCCCCAGCUAGAUGGGGCUGCUCUGACCUGUCUCAACAUGCUGCGGUCCUUGAGCUCAUGGAGCCAGGGACGCCUGAUCUAUUCCUUGAGCUAAUCCACAACCCAGGAUCUUCCUUUGUCAACAAAAUUCACAGUGGACACAAAGCUGCACUUGGGCAGAACAGAAACUACUGUCAACUCUUAGUCCAGGAACCUGCUUACUCAAUAAGCCUUUUAGACCCCUCCACUCCAGGGUAGUUUAAGUUGUGACUACAGAGUCAAGUUGUACUAGUGUAAGCCUUGCACAAGGCUCCAGGAUAGGGUUAAAUCUAUACCAACACUUUUCUCAAGUAACUUAAGUACAACAACAACAAAAGCCUUUAUAUGCAUCUCUGGAAGGGAUUGUAGUUAAUAUAACCAUAUUGAUUUAGACUUACAUUUUGUGUUCUAUUGAAAUAAAUCUCUCUCUUUCUCUGGCAGAGAAGGCCUCAAGGUUUUAGUAAUUCUUCCACUUUGUUUAUAUCUACCAUACGACAAGAAUACACCAUAUCAGAGUAAUUAAAAGUAUACAUCCUCCAAGAGGCUUAAAUUAAAACUAUCCAAAAUUUACUAAAAUGUCAGCUGAUUUAAGAGGGGUUUAAAACUUUCUAGAGACUAAAA
Molecule: long non-coding RNA, 2038 nt
Organism: Alligator mississippiensis (American alligator)
Lineage: Eukaryota; Metazoa; Chordata; Crocodylia; Alligatoridae
Exons: 3
Source: RefSeq, a predicted model, not a curated record